UAGUCUUUCAUGUAGAUUUUAAUUGAUGAAACAAUCGAGUCCACAGACACCCCCAAAGGGUAAACACAAAAACAAUGACUAAACUUUGAAUGAUAUUUAUAGUGACGUUACGUUUUUAGGGGCGGUUGCAAACAUAAAAAGCCAAUCAGCCUAGUCACAAACAAAAUGGCCAGGUAAAGGCAAAAGUUUAUGUCUGCUUAAAAAAAAGUUUUUUUUAUAACAAUUCAUCUUUUGACUAAGUCAACAAUGUACAAUAAAUACAUCAAGUUUUAAGUCGACUGAAAAGAUUGCUUUGUUUUUUCAACUAAGAUAAUAAUCAAACAUUUCUCAGAGAAUACAUAAAAUUCAAUUUCAACAAUACACCAAACAGCAUUAAAACAACAAAAAAAACAACAACAACAACAAGAAAACUAGUCAAACACCACUAUCUACAAUGUUAUGCUGAACAUUAUUUAUAAGUUAACGCUAACUCCUGAGAUGGGCAUGUAGUCGAGAUUAAAAAUAAAACAGUAAAACUUUGAUGUCAUCUAUAAUUAGUUGAUGUCAGCAAAUGAUGUACAUAAAGAAGUGGUUCUCCCAUUUUGUUUUCCUCACAAGGUGAAAGGUUAAGUUACUUA
This is a non-coding RNA of Biomphalaria pfeifferi, 617 nucleotides long. NCBI's taxonomy places the organism in Eukaryota, Metazoa, Mollusca, Gastropoda, Planorbidae. The record is from the annotation of a GenBank genome assembly.